AUGAACGCUGGCUACAGGCUUAACACAUGCAAGUCGAGGGGAAACGACGGGGAAGCUUGCUUCCCCGGGCGUCGACCGGCGCACGGGUGAGUAACGCGUAUCCAACCUGCCUCUGACUGAGGGAUAACCCGUCGAAAGUCGGCCUAAUACCUCAUGGCAUCGUCUGCGGGCAUCCAACGACGAUUAAAGAUUUCAUCGGUCAGAGAUGGGGAUGCGUCUGAUUAGCUUGUUGGCGGGGUAACGGCCCACCAAGGCGACGAUCAGUAGGGGUUCUGAGAGGAAGGUCCCCCACAUUGGAACUGAGACACGGUCCAAACUCCUACGGGAGGCAGCAGUGAGGAAUAUUGAUCAAUGGGCGAGAGCCUGAACCAGCCAAGUAGCGUGCAGGAUGACGGCCCUAUGGGUUGUAAACUGCUUUUAUGCGGGGAUAAAGUGAGGGACGUGUCCUUCAUUGCAGGUACCGCAUGAAUAAGGACCGGCUAAUUCCGUG
Molecule: ribosomal RNA, 490 nt
Filed under: uncultured bacterium
Lineage: Bacteria
Description: partial 16S ribosomal RNA
Rfam family: Bacterial small subunit ribosomal RNA
Source: RNAcentral